UCGUUUGUUCCGAUUGUCCCAUAAUUUCCAGCAGAGCAGGCCGAAUUUUGAGGCACUUUAUAAGGAUAGUUUUCUCAACCUCACCCUUCUUCUUCCCUGUGAAGCAAACGGGCCUUAAUCUUGACAGUCUUUAUCCAUAACUCGGCCCAAUUCAAGCCGGCGAGACUCUCCCUUCGUAUUCGUGCUUGAUUUUUGAAGAUCGAGGACACGCACAGGCAACAAUGCUGCGGACUCGAUUGCUUUGGUUCAGUCUAGGGUUUACAUUCUCAGCUGCCACGAUUUCCCACUUUGUUUGGAAGGAUCUUUGGGUUGAUCGCCACGCUCUUGCUGCUGAUAUGAAGCAGAAGUUUGAUGCUCUGGAAGCUAGAGUGUCCAACCUUGAAUCUUUACCUCAUCAAAAUUCGACAUCGGAAAAGGUUGAAGGCUAGACAUCAUUUGGGAAUCAGGGAAAUGAUUUAUCAGUUUUCGUUGAUCUGGUCUACUGGAAACUGAUUUUGUUGGAAAUGACAAUAAAUUUGUACUGCCACACAUGAUUCCCAACAGUUUAACUACAGUAAUUGUUUCUUGUUCACAGGCCUUGCCCUUAAAAUCAAUUGAAAGCAGUAGUACGUUGUAGGAACUUGAUAUAAGUUUUGAUUUGGCAAUGAAUUUCUAAAUAUUACUACCUCUGAUUCUAAUUAUAAGACUUCAUAAACUUAACACCGGAGAUAGUAAUAUGCAGCCCAAAAAGCCAACAAAAAGAUGAAAAAGGAGCUGGACUGACGAGAAGAGCAAGUGUUAUCAGUAAACCGAACUUUUUCAAGUCUGGUUUCCUUAAUCACUCGGUGCUUCAAAUAUUCAGGAUAUCAAGGCUGUCAAGCGAUGGGCUUGUUAUAUUGCUUGCCGCUUAAUUCAUUUAUUGGGUAUUUUGUACUAUUUUCGAUUCUAAAUAUAAAAACUAAUUGAUAGUUA
Molecule: long non-coding RNA, 951 nt
Organism: Neltuma alba
Lineage: Eukaryota; Viridiplantae; Streptophyta; Magnoliopsida; Fabales; Fabaceae
Exons: 3
Source: RefSeq, a predicted model, not a curated record